GUGCUUACUUUGGCAGCACAUGUACUAAAAUUAGAAUGAUACAGAGAUUAGCAUGGCCCCUGUGCAAGGAUGGCAUGCAAAUUCAAGAAGCAUUCCAUACUUUC
RNAcentral lists this small nuclear RNA (104 nucleotides) under Choloepus hoffmanni (Hoffmann's two-fingered sloth). Lineage: Eukaryota; Metazoa; Chordata; Mammalia; Pilosa; Megalonychidae. The record is from RNAcentral.